This 474-nucleotide ribosomal RNA is filed under the name uncultured bacterium. RNAcentral's name for it is "partial 16S ribosomal RNA". It matches the Rfam family "Bacterial small subunit ribosomal RNA", at positions 28 to 507 of the family's 1533-position model. The record is from RNAcentral.
GAUGAACGCUAGCGGCAGGCCUAACACAUGCAAGUCGAGGGAGGAGCUUUCGGGCUUCGACCGGCGUACGGGUGCGUACCGCGUAUACAAUCUGCCUUUCACAUAGGGAUAGCCCGAAGAAAUUUGGAUUAAUACCUAAUGGUAUAUAGGAGUGGCUUCACAUUUAUAUUAAAGCUGAGGCGGUGAAAGAUGAGUAUGCGUUAGAUUAGCUAGUUGGAGAGGUAACGGCUCCCCAAGGCGACGAUAGAUAGGGGUUCUGAGAGGGGUAUCCCCCACACUGGUACUGGGAUACUGACCAGACUGCUACGGGAGGCAGCAGUGAGGAAGAUUGGACAAGGGUCGGAAGACUGAUCCAGCCAUGCCGCGUGCAGGAAGACGGCCUUAGGGGUUGUAAACUGCUUUUGCAGGGGAAGAAUAAGGACUACGAGUAGUUUGAUGACGGUACUCUGCGAAUAAGCAUCGGCUAACUCCGUG